Molecule: ribosomal RNA, 484 nt
Filed under: uncultured bacterium
Lineage: Bacteria
Description: partial 16S ribosomal RNA
Rfam family: Bacterial small subunit ribosomal RNA
Source: RNAcentral
AUUGAACGCUGGCGGCAUGCUUUACACAUGCAAGUCGAACGGCAGCGCGGGCUUCGGCCUGGCGGCGAGUGGCGAACGGGUGAGUAAUGCAUCGGAACGUGCCCAGUAGUGGGGGAUAGCCCGGCGAAAGCCGGAUUAAUACCGCAUACGACCUGAGGGUGAAAGCGGGGGACCGAAAGGCCUCGCGCUAUUGGAGCGGCCGAUGUCGGAUUAGCUAGUUGGUGGGGUAAAGGCUUACCAAGGCGACGAUCCGUAGCUGGUCUGAGAGGACGACCAGCCACACGGGGAUUGAGACCCGCCCCAGCCCCCUGGGGGAGCGAGGGGGGGGGAUUUUGGGAAAAUGGGGGCACCCCUGACCCCGCCAUGCGGGGGGGGGAAAGAAGGCUUUGGGUUUUAAACCCGUUUUUGUUGGGGAAGAAAUCUUCUGGACUAAUACCCCGGGGGGAUGAGGGACCCGGAAAAAAAAGCCCCGGCAAACUACGUC